Molecule: ribosomal RNA, 502 nt
Filed under: uncultured bacterium
Lineage: Bacteria
Description: partial 16S ribosomal RNA
Rfam family: Bacterial small subunit ribosomal RNA
Source: RNAcentral
AUUGAACGCUAGCGGCAUGCCUUACACAUGCAAGUCGAACGCCAGCGGGGGAGCUUGCUCCCGCCUGCGAGUUGCGAACGGGUGAGUAAUACAGCGGAACGUACCCAGUAGCGGGGGAUAGCCAGGCGAAAGCCGGAUUAAUCCCGCCUACGCCCAACGGGGGAAAGUGUGGGGUCGCAAGGCCUCCCACUAUUGGAGCGCCCUGUGGCUGAUUCGCUAGUUGGUGGGGUAAAGGCCUACCAAGGCGACGAUCAGUAGCUGGUCUGAGAGGACGACCAGCCACACUGGGACUGAGACACGGCCCAGACUCCUACGGGAGGCAGCAGUGGGGAAUUUUGGAAAAUGGGCGAAAGCCUGAUCCAGCAAUGCCGCGUGUGCGAAGAAGGCCUUCGGGUUGUAAAGCACUUUUGUCAGGGAAGAAAUCGUUUGGGCUAAUACCCCGAGCACUUGACGGUACCUGAAGAAUAAGCACCGGCUAACUACGUGCCAGCCGCCGCGGUAA